GGGUGGGGAUGGGGGUGAGCUGGAGAGGGGAGGACUAGGUGUGGGAAACAGUGAAUAUUGAGUCAGAGAGAAAAAAGAGGCUUCAAGUGUCCUCCCCAGUGAGGAGGCCUCCGCAGAAUGACCCGAUGAAGAGACCUCCUCUCUCUGAAUGCAGGGAGGGCUAGAGAUGCAGAUAUGCAUAAGCGCAUGGUGCUGAGGAUGGAGUGACUGAGCCCUUGACUGCAGCUCCCUUCAGAGACUGCAGUUUACUGGCUGCACACAGUCUGGUGUGGGGAGGACAAUUUUUCCCUGUGAAGCCUGCCAGAUGGGACCGUCUAGUUGCUGGAAAACAAACCCAGGCCUUCUACU
This 348-nucleotide long non-coding RNA is filed under the name Homo sapiens (human). RNAcentral describes it as "HSALNT0081260". Lineage: Eukaryota; Metazoa; Chordata; Mammalia; Primates; Hominidae. The record is from RNAcentral.